RNAcentral lists this ribosomal RNA (557 nucleotides) under uncultured bacterium. RNAcentral describes it as "bacterial SSU rRNA". It matches the Rfam family "Bacterial small subunit ribosomal RNA", at positions 37 to 591 of the family's 1533-position model. The record is from RNAcentral.
UGGCGGCGUGCCUAACACAUGCAAGUUGAGCGGGAAUGUAUCUUCAGAGAUUUCGAUUGACGAAGAUGCAGGAGAGCAGCGGACGGGUGAGUAACGCGUGAGCAAUCUGCCCUGUGGAGGGGGAUAGCCUCCGGAAACGGAGAUUAAUACCGCAUAACACUGCACUGUCGCAUGAUAGAGCAGUCAAAACUCAGGUGCCACAGGAUGAGCUCGCGUCUCAUUAGCUAGUUGGUAGGGUAAAAGCCUACCAAGGCGACGAUGAGUAGCCGACCUGAGAGGGUGAUCGGCCACACUGGGACUGAGACACGGCCCAGACUCCUACGGGAGGCAGCAGUGGGGAAUAUUGCGCAAUUUUGUUUGAACCCUGACGCAGCAACGCCGCGUGAAUGAAGAAGGCUUUCGAGUCGUAAAAUUCUGUCCUCAGGGAAGAAGAAGUGACGGUACCUGAGGAGGAAGCCCCGGCUAACUACGUGCCAGCAGCCGCGGUAAUACGUAGGGGGCAAGCGUUGUCCGGAAUCACUGGGCGUAAAGGGCGCGUAGGCGGUAUAUUAAGUCAG